RNAcentral lists this ribosomal RNA (978 nucleotides) under Triticum aestivum (bread wheat). Its description in RNAcentral is "partial small subunit ribosomal RNA". Lineage: Eukaryota; Viridiplantae; Streptophyta; Magnoliopsida; Poales; Poaceae. The record is from RNAcentral.
AUGAUCAAGGCCGAGCCGGAGCUCCGUGGCCAGCUGCGCGGCGGCGGCGGCAUGCUGCAGCAGCGCUGCGACUCGUGCCGGUCGGCGCCGUGCGCGUUCUACUGCCGGGCCGACUCGGCGGCGCUCUGCGCCGCGUGCGACGCGGACGUGCACUCGGCCAACACGCUGGCCAGCCGCCACCGCCGCGUCCCGAUGGGCGCCGUGGCCCCGGCCUCCCCUGCCGGAGGCGCCUUCGUCGUCCGGCCCGGCGGCGUCAACUCCUCCUGGCCCAUCCGUGAGGGCCGGAGGUCCUACUACGACGACGGCGAGGGAGAGGAGGAGGAGGAGGAAGCGACGUCGUGGCUGCUGCUGGACCCGCUCCGGGGCCCGGAGGGGGAUGCGCCGGCGUUCGGCGACGCGCUCGUCGCUGACUUCCUUGACCUCGGACGAGCAGGCGAGAAGGACGCGUCGAGCAAGGAGUACCGCGGCCACGGGAUGGAGAGCAACGAGGGCAGCCACGAGCUCGUUGUGCCCGGCGAGCCGGUGGCGCAGCUGCAUGAGCGGCAGGGCUUCACGGCGGAGAUGCCGUACGAUGCACAAAAUUCUAACCAUGGGUACGGAUUUGGCGCAACAUUCCAACGCAGCCUUUCAAUGUCAUCAUCACCGGACAACAGUAGCACCGUCCAGGAUGUGACCAGCUCGUACAUGAGGCGCAGCGAGAGCAGCGUCGACCUCUUCUCAGCGGCGGCGCACAUGUCGCCGCAGUUCAUGGGCAUGGCGAUGGACAGGGAGGCCAGGGUGCACCGGUACAGGGAGAAGAGGAAGAUGAGGCGGUUCGAGAAGACCAUCAGGUACGCGUCGCGGAAGGCCUACGCCGAGACCAGGCCACGGAUCAAGGGGCGAUUCGCCAAGCGCGCCGACGCCGACCUCGAGGUGGACCAGUACUUCUCCGCAGCCGCGCUGUCCGACUCCAGCUGCGGCGUUGUGCCGACUUUCUAG